UCCUACCUUUGUAUUAUGGCAGUUCAACUUGAAUAUGGGAACCAUUGCACCUGAUUUUGAUGCUAGACACUCAGAAGUUUAUUAUUCUUUCAGUCUUAUCGAGUCAGUUAAAGUUCCCAAAAACCACCUCGUGUGUUGUCAAUCCUAUAUUUGCUUCUGGAGAGAUCUGUUUGGAAGAAUGAAAAGUUACUGGAGACUACGCAAAAGAAAGAUUCAGUUACAAUAUUUCAUGGUUUAAGGAUACCCAGCCUGAGCAUUCAGCGGUAUGUUGAUCACAUCUUCAAGUGGUCUUGGAUCAGAAGUCGCUCAAGAAGUAUGAUAAUGCACCAGAGUAAUAAACUGCCUAUAUAUAUAGCUAAAAGUUGGACAGUCCAAAGGAUAAGGCAGCAUCUGACAGACCAAAAUCCAGCUCUCCGCCAUUAAGCUCUCCAAGUUUGCACAAAUAUUUGUUAGUGGUUUUAUCCUAAUAUUACGGAGGAGGAGAUCGAGGAAAAUAUUUUCUUAGUUUGGGGAACUUGUCUAUGUUAAGAUUCCUUUGGCCCAUGCUGUGCUUCUGCAGAAGAAAUAAUUCAAAGGUUGCAUGGAACUAUUAUUGGUCAACAAAUAGUUCGUCCUUCAUGGAGUAGAAACUCAACAACUGAUUAGUUCAAGAUUUACACAUCUAUGGUUUUGCAGAGAUAGAGAAGCCAUUGAUGCCAAUCUCAUUCUAGAAUUGGGAGACUGUGAUCGAUGAUUUCGAAUUCCAAUCUGAAGCUUCUGACCACAGCCAAUGUCAGUGCUUCAGCAGGAUUUACCUCCACCUCUGUUACUGGUUUUUGACCUGUAUUGAUGUUGAAAAGCAAGGCAGAACAUCUUCUUCUUAGCUGCUGAGACAUGUAAACACCAAGACCUCUUCUUAGAAACUUCUAGGCCUCAGACUGAUGAACGCCGACAACAUUUAUGGGAUGUGCUUUUUUUUCAUCUUUUGAAGAAACUCUGUUUUUUGUUGUAUCUUUUUGCAAGCAAAUAUUGUCAAUGCAUACAGUUGUGGCAUCCU
Macadamia integrifolia is the source of this 1036-nucleotide long non-coding RNA. RefSeq lists it as uncharacterized. The transcript is spliced from 6 exons. NCBI's taxonomy places the organism in Eukaryota, Viridiplantae, Streptophyta, Magnoliopsida, Proteales, Proteaceae. The record is from RefSeq and is a predicted model, not a curated record.